CUCAGCUCAGUCUGCGCAUGUCGAAGCGAAGAGAACGUUCGCCAUUUUGUACCCAACGCAAUUAUUUUCGCAUUCUGGACUCGGAGCCCGUGAGGUUUCGCGAUAUUUGACAAAUAAACAGUUUUAGUGCGGUCGUGUAGAAAAGGUCAAUUGAAGGCAACGGUAAUGGCGUCUUUAUGUCGCUGCUGUAGAGCGUCUGGCGUCACGGGCUUGGUGAACACGUGACCGGAACAGAGCGUCACAGUAAGCAUGUGUGUGUCACGUUAAAUACUUUUUCAGUGACACCUGGUGUAUUAGAUGGUCACUGAAAUGCUUGUUUUACUCAGACAUUGUUCUGAUUGAAUAGCGUGUUUUGACUGGGUGUUUUAAGGAUUAAAAUGUGUGUAUGAUGGAUAUUAAGGGCUGUUUGAUUCAGUGUUGAUAUACAUCAGCGACUGGACCAGUUGAAUCUUGUUUAUGGUGUUAUUAAGUGGUGUUUUAAUGUAUAAACAGGGUCAGAAAAUAACCUGUGUUUGUGUACUAUAUCUGUGUAUUGUUUUAAUCAAUAAAUCUGUCAGUUUGGCUGUA
Long non-coding RNA from Megalobrama amblycephala (Wuchang bream), 567 nucleotides. RefSeq lists it as uncharacterized. The transcript is spliced from 2 exons. The record is from RefSeq and is a predicted model, not a curated record. NCBI's taxonomy places the organism in Eukaryota, Metazoa, Chordata, Actinopteri, Cypriniformes, Xenocyprididae.